RNAcentral lists this transfer RNA (73 nucleotides) under Bos taurus (domestic cattle). It matches the Rfam family "tRNA". From Rfam's summary of the family: Transfer RNA (tRNA) molecules are approximately 80 nucleotides in length. The record is from Rfam by way of RNAcentral. Lineage: Eukaryota; Metazoa; Chordata; Mammalia; Artiodactyla; Bovidae. RNAcentral also lists the same sequence under 1 other name.
UCCAUGGUGGUCCAGUGGUUAGGACUCCAGACUUUCACUGGCUAGGGCCCAGGUUUAAUUCCUGGUUGGGGAA